GCUUGGUGAGUUGUCCAAUAACGCACGAGAAUCUUGAACUGGUUUUAGAGGCUUUUGCAUAAUGAAAUCAGACGAGAGAAAAGAAGGUCGAGAGGAAAUCCCAUGAUCCUUCUCUACAACCGGAAAGCAUUUUACCAAAACCGACUGUCAGUCAUCUCGGACGCAGCAAGAACACUCAGAUGUUGUUUUGGACAGUGCCAUAUAUGUCCUUUAAUGAUCAGUUGUGUUCACGCUGAAAUUCAUUUUAACGAAAGAAGUUUCAGAAUUGAUUGUGAAGAAAAUUGAACGGGCUGCUGGUGAGCAAAACAAAGCGUAGCCCGCACUACUGUCGUCUUUUAGAGCGAGAGCUCUGCCACUAAAAAUUAUGAUUCUGAAGAAGUGGGCUCCUUUGGAUAAGGAACAAGUGAUGGGAGUGCGCGAAGGCGAAGCAAACGGAAAAAGCUUGUUUCAGCAAGUGAAGUACUGAGUUCCCCUUGUGAAAAGAAGCCAAAGGCAGCAUGGAAGGCAAGCAGGUUUUGCCGAAGGUGAUCAAAAGGUUGAUCCACAGGAAGAAGAUAAAAUGAAUUGAAGUACAUGUAGUGACAAUCAAACAUUGGAAACUUUAUUUAAGUAACUUUACCGGUAGCCAUAAUUUACAUUAUUAUUGUUACUGUUAAUCCGGGAUUCCGAUACCUGUUCAGUGCCUGUGCAUGAGGUUGUUGUAGAUUAAAGCCUUUAGAAACGAG
This is a long non-coding RNA of Stylophora pistillata, 725 nucleotides long. Lineage: Eukaryota; Metazoa; Cnidaria; Anthozoa; Scleractinia; Pocilloporidae. The record is from RefSeq and is a predicted model, not a curated record.